Molecule: ribosomal RNA, 427 nt
Filed under: uncultured bacterium
Lineage: Bacteria
Description: bacterial SSU rRNA
Rfam family: Bacterial small subunit ribosomal RNA
Source: RNAcentral
UGGGGAAUUUUGGACAAUGGGCGCAAGCCUGAUCCAGCAAUGCCGCGUGCAGGAUGAAGGCCUUCGGGUUGUAAACUGCUUUUGUACGGAACGAAAAAGCUCUCUCUAAUACAGGGGGUGAAUGACGGUACCGUAAGAAUAAGCACCGGCUAACUACGUGCCAGCAGCCGCGGUAAUACGUAGGGUGCAAGCGUUAAUCGGAAUUACUGGGCGUAAAGCGUGCGCAGGCGGUUUUGUAAGACAGAUGUGAAAUCCCCGGGCUCAACCUGGGAAUUGCCUUUGUGACUGCAAAGCUGGAGUGCGGCAGAGGGGGAUGGAAUUCCGCGUGUAGCAGUGAAAUGCGUAGAUAUGCGGAGGAACACCAAUAGCGAAGGCAAUCCCCUGGGCCUGCACUGACGCUCAUGCACGAAAGCGUGGGGAGCAAACA